AUGGGACCAUCUAGUUGCAGGAAAACAAGCUGAGUGAGGAUUCCCACUGAUUCUAUACUAUGUUCAAACGUGACUGGUAUCCUUCUAAGAAGAGGAAGAGACACCAGAGCUCACUCUCUUUCCACGCACACAAUGGCCAUGUGAGCACACUGUGAGAAGAUGCCAUCCGCAAGCCAAGAAGAGAGGCCUUGGGAGAAACCAAACCUGCUGUCACCUUGAUCUUGGACUUCCAGCCUCAAGAACUGUGAGAAAAUAAAUUUCUGCUGUUUAUUCCACCCAAUUUGUGGCAUUUUGUUAUGGCAGCCCAAGCCAACUAAGAUACCAUCCAUGUAAUUUCUUCUUGUAUGGCAAGGUCUUAACAUGAGACAUGAAUGAAUCAAUGGCCAUUUCUAUGCAGAAAUUUAAAAGCAUUCUUGAGUUCUCAUGGGGAGAUUUAAAUUCUCCAUAUAUGAACCCCUCUAGCCUGUACUUUCUUAUAGGAAAAUUCUCUGUGAGAUUGGAAUAUUCCAGAAGUUAACCAAAAGGAUCUUAAUUUACACUCUAUCUCCUAUUCCUCACAUUCCUAGUACUGUUAAUUACUCUCCUUCCUCAACCUCUGCUCCAUCCCUUUGGCAAGCCCAUGCAUUUAGUAGAUGUUUAUUGAGUGCUUCUCUAGGCCAGCUUAGGCUUUAGGCACUGGAGGUACGGGAAUGAAGAAAACAGAUAAGGCACGUGCUCUCACGUGGCUUCCAUCCUAGCAGAGGAAAACAGAAAUAAAAAUAAAUAAAUAAAUAAAUAAGGACUAUGUCAGAUAGUGAAAAGCUAUUCAGGAAUUUUAAAUACAGCAAUGCAAGAAUGACUGAGAGCCUGCUUUGGUUAGGCAGACAGGAACUCUGUCCUUUCCAACUAAAAACCAUUCUACUCCCUCUUCUCUUCUUUCCAUCAGCAUAACUACCCCUUGAGUGCAAGCUCCUGGGCUGGGCUCCUGCAAAAGCAUUCUAAUUGACCUCUCUGCCACCUCCUUUGCACCACUGCAGUUCAUUUUCCACAUAGCAGCUAGGGAAAUAUGUAAAAAACAAAGCUGGUUUUCAUUAUUCACAAUAGCUGUGUUCUAUAAAGUUGCUUCAAACCCUGAAUUCUGGAAUACUGAAGCAUUGCUC
This 1139-nucleotide long non-coding RNA is filed under the name Homo sapiens (human). Its description in RNAcentral is "HSALNT0024218". Lineage: Eukaryota; Metazoa; Chordata; Mammalia; Primates; Hominidae. The record is from RNAcentral.